CAGUGAUAAACUGGAGGAAGGUGGGGAUGACGUCAAGUCAUCAUGGCCCUUACGACCAGGGCUACACACGUGCUACAAUGGCGCAUACAAAGAGAAGCGACCUCGCGAGAGCAAGCGGACCUCAUAAAGUGCGUCGUAGUCCGGAUUGGAGUCUGCAACUCGACUCCAUGAAGUCGGAAUCGCUAGUAAUCGUGGAUCAGAAUGCCACGGUGAAUACGUUCCCGGGCCUUGUACACACCGCCCGUCACACCAUGGGAGUGGGUUGCAAAAGAAGUAGGUAGCUUAACCUUCGGGAGGGCGCUUACCACUUUGUGAUUCAUGACUGGGGUGAAGUCGUAACAAGGUAACCGUAGGGGAACCUGCGGUUGGAUCACCUCCUUACCUUAAAGAAG
This 392-nucleotide ribosomal RNA is filed under the name Salmonella enterica subsp. enterica serovar Heidelberg. RNAcentral describes it as "bacterial SSU rRNA". It matches the Rfam family "Bacterial small subunit ribosomal RNA", at positions 1153 to 1533 of the family's 1533-position model. The record is from RNAcentral. Lineage: Bacteria; Pseudomonadati; Pseudomonadota; Gammaproteobacteria; Enterobacterales; Enterobacteriaceae.